GACAGAGGUGCCAAGCGUUAGGCGGAAUCACUGGGCUUAAAGCGUGUGUAGGCGGAUCGUUAAGUACCUUGUGAAAACUCACAGCUCAACUGUGGGCGUGCAGGCGAUAUGGGCAGACUAGAGUACUGCAGGGGAGACUGGAAUUCCUGGUGUAGCGGUGGAAUGCGCAGAUGUCAGGAGGAACACCGGUGGCGAAGGCGGGUCUCUGGGCCGUAACUGACGCUGAGGAGCGAAAGCGUGGGGAGCGAACAGG
This 253-nucleotide ribosomal RNA is filed under the name uncultured bacterium. RNAcentral's name for it is "partial 16S ribosomal RNA". It matches the Rfam family "Bacterial small subunit ribosomal RNA", at positions 524 to 776 of the family's 1533-position model. The record is from RNAcentral.